UACGAAGGGGGCUAGCGUUGCUCGGAAUCACUGGGCGUAAAGCGCACAUAGGCGGAUUGUUAAGUCAGGGGUGAAAUCCUGGAGCUCAACUCCAGAACUGCCUUUGAUACUGGCGAUCUCGAGUCCGGGAGAGGUGAGUGGAACUGCGAGUGUAGAGGUGAAAUUCGUAGAUAUUCGCAAGAACACCAGUGGCGAAGGCGGCUCACUGGCCCGGUACUGACGCUGAGGUGCGAAAGCGUGGGGAGCAAACAGG
RNAcentral lists this ribosomal RNA (253 nucleotides) under uncultured bacterium. RNAcentral describes it as "partial 16S ribosomal RNA". It matches the Rfam family "Bacterial small subunit ribosomal RNA", at positions 524 to 776 of the family's 1533-position model. The record is from RNAcentral.